AACGCACCUUGCGCUCCUUGGUAUUCCGAGGAGCAUGCCUGUUUGAGUGUCAUUAAAUUCUCAAUCUUAACAACUUUGUGUUGUCUAGAUUGGAAGUGGGGGUCUUUUGUGUGGAAUCCAAUUCCUCACUCCCCUUAAAUGUAUUAGCUGGAAUGCCUCUGCAUAUCUGACUAUCAGUGUGAUAAUUAUCUAUGCUGUAGUUGUUGCAUGAGGGUAUCUGCUUCAUCAAUCGUCGCAAGACAACUAUUGACCAUCUUGACCUCAAAUCAGGUAGGACUACCCGCUGAACUUAA
This 293-nucleotide unclassified non-coding RNA is filed under the name uncultured Conocybe. Its description in RNAcentral is "sequence contains ITS2". The stretch from base 1 to 52 matches the Rfam family "5.8S ribosomal RNA", at positions 103 to 154 of the family's 154-position model. The record is from RNAcentral. Lineage: Eukaryota; Fungi; Basidiomycota; Agaricomycetes; Agaricales; Bolbitiaceae.